This 406-nucleotide ribosomal RNA is filed under the name uncultured bacterium. RNAcentral describes it as "partial 16S ribosomal RNA". It matches the Rfam family "Bacterial small subunit ribosomal RNA", at positions 30 to 526 of the family's 1533-position model. The record is from RNAcentral.
AUUGAACGCUGGCGGCAGGCCUAACACAUGCAAGUCGAGCGAGCGGCGGACGGGUGAGUAUUGUAUGGGGAUCUGCCCGAUAGAGGGGGAAAAAACUGGGAAACGGUAUAUAUAAUACCUACUGACCGGAUGUAUCCAUAUGGGUUUAGCGAGUAGGUGUGGUAUCGGUUCACCAAGGAGACGAUCCCCAGCUGGUUUGAGAGGAUGAUCAGCCACACUGGAACUGAGACAAGGCCCAGACUCCGACGGGAGGCAGCAGUGGGGAAUAUUGCACAAUGGGCGCAAGCCUGAUGGAGCCAUGCCGCGUGUGUGAAGAAGGCCUUCGGGUUGUAAAGUUCUUUCAGUAGUGAGGCGUUACCGAAAGAGGAAGCACCGGCUAACUCCGUGCCAGCAGCCGCGGUAAUAC